This 292-nucleotide ribosomal RNA is filed under the name uncultured bacterium. RNAcentral's name for it is "partial 16S ribosomal RNA". It matches the Rfam family "Bacterial small subunit ribosomal RNA", at positions 334 to 642 of the family's 1533-position model. The record is from RNAcentral.
UUUUCCUACGGGGCGCAGCAGUGGGGAAUAUUGCGCAAUGGGGGAAACCCUGAUGCAGCAACGCCGCGUGAAGGAAGACGGUUUUCGGAUUGUAAACUUCUGUUCUUAGUGAAGAAAAAUGACGGUAGCUAAGGAGCAAGCCACGGCUAACUACGUGCCAGCAGCCGCGGUAAUACGUAGGUGGCAAGCGUUGUCCGGAAUUACUGGGUGUAAAGGGAGCGCAGGCGGGAAGCCAAGUCAGCUGUGACAACUACGGGCUUACCUUGACGGCUGCAGUUGAAGCUGGUUUUCU